This 910-nucleotide ribosomal RNA is filed under the name uncultured Pseudomonadota bacterium. Its description in RNAcentral is "bacterial SSU rRNA". It matches the Rfam family "Bacterial small subunit ribosomal RNA", at positions 28 to 949 of the family's 1533-position model. The record is from RNAcentral. Lineage: Bacteria; Pseudomonadati; Pseudomonadota.
GAUGAACGCUGGCGGCGUGCUCAACACAUGCAAGUCGAACGUGAAGCUCCCUUCGGGGAGUGGAAAGUGGCGCACGGGUGCGUAACACGUAGCUUAUCUGCCCUGGAGACGGGAAUAACACACGGAAACGUGUGCUAAUGCCCGAUAAGCUCCCGGUCUCUAGACGACCGAGAGAAAAAGCUCAGGUGCUCUGGGAUGAGGCUGCGGUCCAUCAGCUCGUUGGUGAGGUAACGGCUCGCCAAGGCAACGACGGAUAGGGGACCUGAGAGGGUGACCCCCCACACUGGGACUGAGACACGGCCCAGACUCCUACGGGAGGCAGCAGUGAGGAAUAUUGCACAAUGGGCGCAAGCCUGAUGCAGCGACGCCGCGUGGGCGAAGAAGGUCUUCGGAUCGUAAAGCCCUUUUCUAUGUGACGAGAAACAGGACGGUAGCAUAGGAAUAAGUCUCGGCUAACUACGUGCCAGCAGCCGCGGUAAAACGUAGGAGGCGAGCGUUAUCCGGAGUUACUGGGCGUAAAGCGCGUGUAGGCGGUGGUGCAGGUCGGAUGUGAAAGCUCCCAGGCUAAACCGGGAGAGGUCAUUCGAAACCGCAUCGCUAGCGGGUGGCAGAGGCGUGUGGAAUUCCAGGUGUAGUGGUGAAAUGCGCAGAUAUCUGGAGGAACACCAGUGGCGAAGGCGGCACGCUGGGCCACACCGGACGCUGAGACGCGAAAGCAUGGGUAGCGAACGGGAUUAGAGACCCCGGUAGUCCAUGCCGUANACGAUGCACACUGGGUGUUCGUGUCGGGAAACCGGCGUGAGUGCCGAAGCUAACGCGAUAAGUGUGCCGCCUGAGGAGUACGGUCGCAAGGCUAAAACUCAAAGGGAAUUGACGGGGGCCCGCACAAGCAGCGGAGCGUGUGGUUUAA